Humulus lupulus (European hop) is the source of this 873-nucleotide long non-coding RNA. RefSeq lists it as uncharacterized. The transcript is spliced from 3 exons. The record is from RefSeq and is a predicted model, not a curated record. NCBI's taxonomy places the organism in Eukaryota, Viridiplantae, Streptophyta, Magnoliopsida, Rosales, Cannabaceae.
UUUCUAAACACAAAUUUCUCAUUUUCAAGUUCUGACUCGACUGACUUGCCAGCCACUCGGCCAAAACGUCCCUUUUAUGUUGAAACCGAAGACUACAAGUGGAAGGAACACAAGAGGCUAACAUAUGAUGCUCUGAAGUAUUUAAAUGACCUUGAGAAGAUGUUUUGAGAGGCAGAACUGGAGGCGUUCAAUGCGCGAUCCGUGGCACAGGAAUACCAGGUUGAAAUUGGCUCGUUAAAAAAGAAAAUUUAUGAUUUGGAAGGGGAGUUGCCUUAGAUGAAGGAGAAGGAGGCUUCUUCGGCUGUUGAACGUGUUGGUCUGAAUAUUGCAAUCACACACAUGAAACAUGAAGCCUGCACUCAAUACAGGGGAAACCUAGAGCUUCUUAUUGGCGAGGAGCCUAAUGCUUCCCAAGUUGUCCUGUCUCGAAGCUCUGCGCUAUAGUAUCACUAUGAUGCAUAUGAAGCACCUAACAAUCCUGAGUUUCGACCCCCUUUUAACAUGGAGAGCUCUGCAUCUUCUUCGAGUCGUGUCUGGAGUGACGACGUUCCCAAAUGCUACUGUGCUAGGGAUUCCGCGUGCCAGACUUCAUGGUCCAACACAUAUCCAGGCUGCAAAUUAUACACUUGUGGAAACUAUGAUCGCAAUGCAAAAGCAUGUCAUUUCUUUCAAUGGAUUGAUCCAGAGAUAUGCAAGGGAGCAGCCAUGGUGUUUUUGAAGUUGCGAAAAAGGAUUGAGGAGAAAAAUCAAGUUGUUAAUGUGCUGAGGAUCCAAAUUAAGUGUUUAAAAAUAUUUAUGCUUUCAAUUGUGUUCAUUAUAUUAUUAAAAAUAUUUAUGUAACUCGGAAGUUGGUAUAUUUAGGAUAUUAUUCAC